This is a long non-coding RNA of Bos taurus (domestic cattle), 3036 nucleotides long. The record is from Ensembl. Lineage: Eukaryota; Metazoa; Chordata; Mammalia; Artiodactyla; Bovidae.
GGUAUGUGGAAUGAAUAGGAAACAGAUGAUGAACGAGGUGCUAAAGCUGCGAUCCCUGGAGACUAGCCCCCAGGAAACCACUGUGGGUGUGUGCAGUACCAGAGGGUCAGGAGUAAGUAAGUGUUCCGCGUAGAAACAUCCCAGCCAUGCAUCAAGGGAGACAGAAUCUUCCAGAACUCAAACCUCAAGAGCACUGAGGACCUCAGCGGUAACAACAAACCUCCUCCUUCUCAUCACGGACGAACUGAGCCCUUGCAUUCGUCUCCCUGGAUCGCUUACAACAAUCACAGAGACAGGCUAUCGACUCCAUGCUACAGAUAGGGCCUGCAGUCAGACCCUUCUCACACGAGCUCCCAGUGUCAGAGCUUCAAGUGGAAGGGAUGGCAAGGCCAUUUUCAUCUGAGGCUGUACCUCUCUGAAGGACCUACGGAGGAGGAACCGCAUCAACUCUGGAGUGCAGACUCUUGGGGACUAUGGAAACGAUGCUAGGCAAAAAGCAAAUUUGAGCGAUUUCCUUAUUGGAGUUCAAAACGGAUUGUAAAGCAGCAGAGACAACUUGCAACAUCAACAAUACAUUUGGCCCAGGAACUGCUAAUGAACGUAUGGUGCAGUGGUGGUUCAGGAAGUUUUGCAAAGGAGACGAGCACCUUGAAGAUGAGUGUAAUGGCCGGCCAUCAGAAGUUGACAACAACCAACUGAGAGCCAUCAUCGAAGCUGAUUCUCUUACAACUACACAAGAAGUUGCCAAAAAACUCAGUGUUGACUAUCAUGGUCAUUCAGCCUUUGAAGCAAAUUAGAGAGGUGAAAACGUUUGAUAAGUGGGUGCCUCAUGAGCUGACCAAAAAUCAAAAAAAUCGUUUUGAAGUGUCGUAUUCUUACUAGAUGCAACAACAGCAAACCGUUUCUUGAUUGGAUUAUGACAUGUGACAAAAAUGGGAUUUUAUACAAUAACCAGCUCAGUGGUUGAACCAAGAAACUCCAAAGCACUUCUCAAAGCCAAACUUGCACCAAAAAAAGGUCAUGGUCACUGUUUGGUCAUUUGCUGCUGGUCUGAUCCAUGAAAGCUUUCUGAAUCCCAGUGAAACCAUUACAUCUGAGAAGUAUGCUCAGCACAUUGAUGAGAUGCACGGAGAAGGGAAUGGCUAUACCCACUCCAGUAUUCUUGCCUGAGGAAUUCUAUGGACAGAGGAGUCUGGUGGGCUACAGUCCAUGGGGUCGCAAAGAGCGGAUACAACUGAGCAACUUUUACUCACUCUUUCACAGAAAACUGCAACACCUGCGACCAGCAGUGGUCAACAGAAAGGGGCCGAUUUUUCUCCACAACAACCCCUAACCACACGUCACACAACCGAUGCUUCAAAAAUUGAACAAACUGGGCUAUGAAGUUUUGUCUCACCUGCCAUAUUCACCUGACCUCUUGCCAACCGACCACUACUUUCUUCAAGCAUCUCGAGAACUUUUUGAAGGAAAAACUCUUCUGCAGCCAGCAGGAGGCAGAAGACGCUUUCCAAAAUUUCCCUGAAUCCGAAACACGAAUUUUUAAGCUAUAGGGAUGAACAAACUUAUUUCUCGUUGGCAAAAAUGUGUUGAUUGUAAUCGUUCUUAUUUCGAUUUAAAAAGAUGUGUUUCAGCCUAUUUAUAAGGCUGAAUUGAUUUAGAAGGCUGAAUUUAAAUUGAUUUAAAAUUUAAAAUUCAACAUCCGAAACCACAAUUACAUUUGCACCAACCUAAUACAAACGCACAAACUUCACACAGAUGGCGGUAUUAUACCUAGUACCACAUUUUUUUUUUUGGCAGGGGGAAGAAGGAUAGUCCAGGAAGUCCCAGUCAAUGAUAACAAAACAUUGAGCAAUACUUUUAAAGGUAUGUUAUAAUGAAAGGUUAUUUUUGGAUCAUCAUGUUUCCUUUUGACAAGUACCUGGCAAGAGAGCAAAUACGAACUUACAUAAAGGUAUUAACUGAUAAUACAAGUAAAACAAAAUCCAAGUUCUUUCUAAUGUACUUAGCCCCUCAGUUUACUGUGCCUCUUGGUUUUCAUUUUUACUGACUAUAUAGGCUUCAUUUUUCCCUUCUCACUUCAUACAUUUUUACAACUAAUAAAUACUGCAAGCAAAGUUUCUAUCAAAGAAAGUUUUGAGUGUGUUAUUUUUUCUUUUCCAGUCUUCAAUUGGGUCUCCCUCCUGAAAGACUGAGAGUCACAGAGACAGACAACUGCCUCCUGACAUUUAAAUGAAGCAUUGCUGGACAGUUGCUUUUUAAACAUCUAUAAAGCUUACCCUCGGAUUUAAUAAAGAUCAAUACAUUUCUGUAAAAAAAAAAUACAUGAAAUAAGUUUACACUUCACUAAACAUUCAAAUAAAACCAAGAAAUAGCUAUAUCCAUGCUGGAACAUUGAGUAUUACCAAAAUUAUGAAGAAUGUAAGGUCAUGAUAAUCCCAGAAAAAUUUCGUACAAAUGAAGAAUGCAGAUUCUGCCUUAUGCUAUCUCAGGUUUAGAGCUAAGAAGGCUUCCUAGUCUCUUAAGCCUUUGAUCUAUUUUAGGAUCUCUGACCCUUUAUUCCUGGGAGUUAAUGACACUUCUGAGUACUGCUGCUGCUGCUAAGUUGCUUCAGUCGUGUCCGACUCUGUGUGACCCCAGAGACGGUAGCCCACCAGGCUCCCCCAUCCCUGGGAUUCUCCAGGCAAGAACACUGGAGUGGGUUGCCAUUUCCUUCUCCAAUGCCUGAAAGUGAAAAGUGAAAGGGAAGUCACUCAGUCUUGUCCAACUCUUUGCGACCCCACAGACUGCAGCCUACCAGGCUUCUCUGUCCAUGGGAUUUUCCAGGCAAGAGUACCGGAUUGGGUUGCCAUUGCCUUUUCCGAAACAAUUAUGUCUCGAUGCCAACCUAGUGACACAUUUAAUGUGCUAGUUUGUGGUGGAAGGGGUAAAUCUCAUUGACAGUUUUUCAUAAAGGGGAUUCCCUGCUGGCUCAGCAGUGAGAAUCUGCCUGCCAAAGCCAGUGACAUAGGUUCAAUCCCUGGGUCGGGAAGAUCCCCU